AGCCCCGUGGUGUAGCGGCCAAGCAUUGCUGGCUCUGGACCAGCAGACGUAGGUUCGAAUCCUGCCGGGGCUA
RNAcentral lists this transfer RNA (73 nucleotides) under Candidatus Aenigmatarchaeota archaeon. RNAcentral describes it as "tRNA-Gln". It matches the Rfam family "tRNA". Rfam says of the family: Transfer RNA (tRNA) molecules are approximately 80 nucleotides in length. The record is from RNAcentral. Lineage: Archaea; Nanobdellati; Candidatus Aenigmatarchaeota.